UGGGGAAUAUUGGACAAUGGGCGCAAGCCUGAUCCAGCCAUGCCGCGUGAGUGAUGAAGGCUCUAGGUUUUUAAAGCCCUUUCACCGGUGAAGAUAAUGACGGUUACCGGAGAAGAAGCCCCGGCUAACUUCCGGCCAGCAGCCGCGGUAAUACGGAGGGGGCUAGCGUUGUUCGGAUUUACUUGGCGUAAAGCGCACGUAGGCGGACUUUUCAGUCAGGGAUGAAAUCCCGGGGCUCAACCCCGGUACUGCCUUUGGUACUGGAAGUCUUGAGUAUGGUAGAGGUGAGUGGAAUUCCGAGUGUAGAGGUGAAAUUCGUAGAUAUUCGGAGGAACACCAGUGGCGAAAGCGGCUCACUGGACCAUUACUGACGCUGAGGUGCGAAAGCGUGGGGAGCAAACAGG
This 404-nucleotide ribosomal RNA is filed under the name Actinomycetes bacterium. Its description in RNAcentral is "Actinobacteria bacterium partial 16S ribosomal RNA". It matches the Rfam family "Bacterial small subunit ribosomal RNA", at positions 355 to 776 of the family's 1533-position model. Lineage: Bacteria; Bacillati; Actinomycetota; Actinomycetes. The record is from RNAcentral.